This 253-nucleotide ribosomal RNA is filed under the name uncultured bacterium. RNAcentral describes it as "partial 16S ribosomal RNA". It matches the Rfam family "Bacterial small subunit ribosomal RNA", at positions 524 to 776 of the family's 1533-position model. The record is from RNAcentral.
UACGUAGGGGGCUAGCGUUGUCCGGAAUCAUUGGGCGUAAAGAGCGUGUAGGCGGCCCGGUAAGUCCGCUGUGAAAGUCGGGGGCUCAACCCUCGGAUGCCGGUGGAUACUGUCGGGCUCGAAUCCGGAAGAGGUGAGUGGAAUUCCUGGUGUAGCGGUGAAAUGCGCAGAUAUCAGGAGGAACACCAAUGGCGAAGGCAGCUCACUGGGACGGUAUUGACGCUGAGACGCGAAAGCGUGGGGAGCAAACAGG